ACCUGGGUGGCUCAGUCGGUUGAGCAUCCGACUUUGGCUCGGGUCAUGAUUUCACAGUUCGUGGGUUCGAGCCCCGCGUCAGGCU
RNAcentral lists this transfer RNA (85 nucleotides) under Felis catus (domestic cat). It matches the Rfam family "tRNA". From Rfam's summary of the family: Transfer RNA (tRNA) molecules are approximately 80 nucleotides in length. Their secondary structure includes four short double-helical elements and three loops (D, anti-codon, and T loops). Further hydrogen bonds mediate the characteristic L-shaped molecular structure. tRNAs have two regions of fundamental functional importance: the anti-codon, which is responsible for specific mRNA codon recognition, and the 3' end, to which the tRNAs corresponding amino acid is attached (by aminoacyl-tRNA synthetases). tRNAs cope with the degeneracy of the genetic code in two manners: having more than one tRNA (with a specific anti-codon) for a particular amino acid; and 'wobble' base-pairing, i.e. permitting non-standard base-pairing at the 3rd anti-codon position. Lineage: Eukaryota; Metazoa; Chordata; Mammalia; Carnivora; Felidae. The record is from Rfam by way of RNAcentral.